UACGUAGGGUGCGAGCGUUGUCCGGAAUUACUGGGCGUAAAGAGCUCGUAGGUGGUUUGUCGCGUUGUUCGUGAAAACUCACAGCUUAACUGUGGGCGUGCGGGCGAUACGGGCAGACUGGAGUACUGCAGGGGAGACUGGAAUUCCUGGUGUAGCGGUGGAAUGCGCAGAUAUCAGGAGGAACACCGGUGGCGAAGGCGGGUCUCUGGGCAGUAACUGACGCUGAUGCACGAAAGCUAGGGGAGCAAACAGG
RNAcentral lists this ribosomal RNA (253 nucleotides) under uncultured bacterium. RNAcentral describes it as "partial 16S ribosomal RNA". It matches the Rfam family "Bacterial small subunit ribosomal RNA", at positions 524 to 776 of the family's 1533-position model. The record is from RNAcentral.